AGAGUUUGAUCCUGGCUCAGGACGAACGCUGGCGGCGUGCCUAAUACAUGCAAGUCGAACGCUUCUUUUUCCACCGGAGCUUGCUCCACCGGAAAAAGAGGAGUGGCGAACGGGUGAGUAACACGUGGGUAACCUGCCCAUCAGAAGGGGAUAACACUUGGAAACAGGUGCUAAUACCGUAUAACAAUCGAAACCGCAUGGUUUUGAUUUGAAAGGCGCUUUCGGGUGUCGCUGAUGGAUGGACCCGCGGUGCAUUAGCUAGUUGGUGAGGUAACGGCUCACCAAGGCGACGAUGCAUAGCCGACCUGAGAGGGUGAUCGGCCACAUUGGGACUGAGACACGGCCCAAACUCCUACGGGAGGCAGCAGUAGGGAAUCUUCGGCAAUGGACGAAAGUCUGACCGAGCAACGCCGCGUGAGUGAAGAAGGUUUUCGGAUCGUAAAACUCUGUUGUUAGAGAAGAACAAGGAUGAGAGUAACUGUUCAUCCCUUGACGGUAUCUAACCAGAAAGCCACGGCUAACUACGUGCCAGCAGCCGCGGUAAUACGUAGGUGGCAAGCGUUGUCCGGAUUUAUUGGGCGUAAAGCGAGCGCAGGCGGUUUCUUAAGUUUGAUGUGAAAGCCCCCGGCUCAACCGGGGAGGGUCAUUGGAAACUGGGAGACUUGAGUGCAGAAGAGGAGAGUGGAAUUCCAUGUGUAGCGGUGAAAUGCGUAGAUAUAUGGAGGAACACCAGUGGCGAAGGCGGCUCUCUGGUCUGUAACUGACGCUGAGGCUGGAAAGCGUGGGGAGCAAACAGGAUUAGAUACCCUGGUAGUCCACGCCG
Molecule: ribosomal RNA, 823 nt
Filed under: uncultured bacterium
Lineage: Bacteria
Description: bacterial SSU rRNA
Rfam family: Bacterial small subunit ribosomal RNA
Source: RNAcentral